CAGAAGCCCUCUCUUGGGUCCCUCUCUCUCUCUUCUUCUAAUCAUCGUCUCUCUCUCUUUCUUCUCUCUUUGCUCGCGCGUCUCAAUCAGUUAAAUCUAUACACACACGUAUACGCGAAUACAUGGUUUUCAGGAUAUUGCAGUGACGACGGCGCAAUUUGACCGGAGGAUGUACGGAGGAUCGUCGAAACUUAGUCGCGGUGGCGGUAGAGGUGGUGGUGGAGGAGGAGGCGGUGGUGGCGGACCGGGCCGUAACCGCAAUUCUUACCCUCCUCCUACGAACCGGCAUCCUUCUCCCGUCGGGAGGAUGUCCUCGGGAGGUGGUGGCUCCGCAGCCGCCCCACGGCAGCGGAAUAUCACCAGCGUCAAGGCGGCGGCGGCCGCCACGGCGUCGACGGCGGCUCGUACGGUUGAGGAGAGCUUUAGCCUUGUUCCGAGGGAGAGUCCUUCGGCUUUUGGAAUGAUCAUAAGGUUGGCUCCUGAUUUGGUGGAGGAGAUCAAGCGGGCGGAAGCACAGGGUGGAGCCGCCAAGAUCAAGUUCGAUGCGUUUCCUAACAAUAGCACUGGGAAUAUUAUUAAUGUUGGUGGGAAGGAGUUCAAAUUUACCUGGUCUAGGGAGCCUGGUGAUUUAUGUGAUAUAUAUGAAGAGCACCAAAGUGGUGAAGAUGGAAAUGGUGUGCUAGUUGAGGCUGGAUGUGCUUGGCGAAAAUUGAACGUCCAGCGAACUCUAGAUGAGUCAACCACAAGCCAUAUGAAGAUGCGCUCAGUUGAAGCUGAGCAGAGAACCAAAUCACGCAAGGCAAUUGUUUUAGAUCCUGGGAAUCCAACAGUAACGAAGCAGUUAGCUCUUGCUGAAGCAAGUCCAUGGAGAAUGUCAAAUAAACAGAAGAAGGAACCUCCGCCUAAGAAGCGGAAAGUUGAUCCACCUUCAGUUUCAACUGGAGGUCCAAAGCCUUCUUUCAGACCAGGGGCUUCACCCCCUGCUGUGAAAAAUAGGCUAUCAGCUUCCCCAAGACCAUCUCCUUCUAAUCAAUACAAUACCCCUCCAUCAUAUGGGAUUGGGAAUAUUGCUAAAACUCAUGCAGCUAACGAGAAUGUCACACCAGUCCAGACAAAGGGCAGAGAGAACAUGGUUGCUAGCGAAAAAGAUCCAUCAACUUGGACAAAUAAUGCGUUAAGGGACACGUCUGCGCGCCAAGCAGCCAAUAUUAAUAAAGAAAUAGAUUUGCAGACAAUGCUGGUUGAUCUUCUAGAAGAGGCUCCAAUGACCUUAAAGGCAUUAGAGAAAGCUGUUGGAAAUAGAAUCCCUAAUGCGGCAAAGAAGAUUGAACCAAUUUUGAAAAAAAUUGCAAAUUUCCAAGCUCCAAGGUAUUUCUUAAAAUCAGGAGCAGAGUUGGAAAGCUACAAAAAACAUUCACCUGAUAGCGGAAGCUCACCUGAACACCAGCAAUUGCUACCAAUCACUGAGUGCAGUCGCGAUCAGUUACCUGCUCCAGGGGGCAGCAACAUGGAGAAAUUUUCUGUGUGUGAGCGGAACGGAGAAGGUUCACAAGACUGUUUACCUGUGCAUCUAGCAGAGCAAUUGAGUGCGCAAGAAAAUGUUGACAUUGAGCAUCAUUCACCUGGUAUUCUUCAUGAGGAAAAGCGAUCUGAGAAUAGAGAAGGUCAGGCUCGUAGCUCUAGUGAUAGUGACAGUGAUAGUGAUAACAGUGACAGUGGAAGUGACAGUGGGAGCCACAGUAAAGGAAGUGACAGCGGGAGCAGCAGUGAUAGCGAGGCUUCUUCUAACAGUAGGGAUGGUUCUGAUGAGGAAGUGGAUAUCAUGAGCGAUGGUGACAGGGAGCCUCAACAGAUAAUACAGUCGGCUGAACAGGAUGCUAUUACUCUCCCAGGUCAUGGUUCUAAUGCUGUUGACAUCGAGGGUCAUGAUUCUGAUCCUGUCGACAUUGACGGUCAUGAUUCUGACGCGGUUGACAUCGAUGGUCUUGGGUCUGAUGCAGUUGAUGUUGAGGGGAACAGUUCAGAUGGGGGUCAUGGUUUUGAAGCUGACAGGAAAAACUUCUCUGAUAAUAACUGGAAAAUGGAAGCAACAACUGGUACCAGUCCCACUGCGAAUGACGAAGUUGGCAUUUCAGGGCAGGACAAUUUUGCUUCAGGUCACGACAAGCUACGAGAGCGCCAAAAUUUUAUUGGACAGUUGUUUGAUGACACAGAGAACACAACGAAAGAUAACUUUAAAAAUGACCAACCUGACACCUCCGAGAGGCUGGCCAAAGACCAGAAUCAAAUAGCCCCUUAUUUGGAGCACCAGAGUCAGAAAUCAACACGGAUGAAAAAUAUGAAAUCCCAGAGCUUCAAUCCAAUACCUUCCGUUGGUAAAGAUUCACAGCGUUCAGAGCGCAAGUCUGAUGUAGAACUUCUCAACUCCUCUGCCAGUCAAACAAUAGAUCCACUUAGAGGACUUCAGAAGCCAUUUAUUGAAAAGUCGAAUAGACAUGGUCAAAUGAAGCCUGUUGAUAGUUCAGGUAAAUCAAACAAACAUUCUGAUUCCUUAGGCAAUGUUCGUAAAUCUGAAGAAAGGGACCAUUUUCCGCAUGAAAUGACUCGGUCAGGAAAGGCUAUCAGGGGCAAUCAAAGAGAUGAUGUUCAUUUGAAAAAUAAGUUUCCAAGGAAUAGAAAAGAUGGUGAGCCAGCCAUUCGACCUUCAUUACCUUCUGACACAUCCAAUAGGAAACAUGGUGAACUGGAUGGAAGUGACAAGGAUCCUAAGAAUGUUUUAGGCUUCGGCAUAGGUUCUUCUCCCUUGGAUAGUCAGAGAACAUAUUCGGCGAAAUUACCUAAGGAAAAUGGAUCUGUGCUCCAAAAACAAGUUUCGGAAUUGGAGUUGGGUGAACUCCGUGAACAAUUGGUCGAAGAUAUAGCAUUGAAGCAACUCGAAGAGAAAAGUUCUUUUAGGCAGUCAAAUAUAAAACCAAGCACCUCAGAAAACUUGGCUAUUGACUCGGAGAAACGAAGGUCUAAAAAAUCCGACCCAAAAAAGCCAGCUCCCUCACAUGCCAGCAACGGUAUCAAAGUAUUGCCCGAACACGUGGUUGAAGAUUCAGAAAGACUUCAGAAGUGGCCUUUGCAGUCGCAUGAGCAGAACCUUACAGGUGCAGAUACUGAAAUUGGCUCACAGAGUAAUGCAGCUUAUAAAUCAAGACAAAAAAAUAGUAGAGCAAGAGUAGGAAGCAGUGUAGAAGGUUAUGGAGAGACGAACAAAAAAACGCCCGUUGUAAAGCAUGGCAAACGAGCAUCCACAUCCCGCUCAUCAAGGGAGAGUAAAAGACAUGCGUCUGGGAAAAUUGAAAACUCUAUCAAUGGACACAUAGAUGCAACUUCAAUACCUGGUGACAGUGUUGUCCAGGAGAAACAAAUGACAUCUUUCGAUAAAGAAUACUCUUCUUAUUUGAAAUACGAGAAAGCUUCUGCUGAGCUUAAGGGACCUAUUAGUGACCAUUUACAGUAUAAAGCCUAUAUGCAGGAAUAUUUGGAUAAAUAUGAUAGCUACUGCUCCAUUAACAAGAUAUUAGAGAGCUACAGAAAGGACUUUCAAAAGUUGGGGGAAGACCUCAAGUUUGCAAAAGGAAGGGACACGGAGAGAUAUAACAAAAUUGUGGAGCACUUGAAGGAGUCUUAUUGCAAAUAUGGGGAGAGGCACAAACGUUUGAAGAAAGUAUUUGUUGUUCUCCAUGAAGAAUUGAAGCAAGUGAAAGAAAGAAUGAAAGACUAUGCAUCAUCUCAUGGAAAAGAUUGAUGACAUUGGAACCAAAACAAAAAAACUUGGACCUCAUGCUCAGAGGUGAAAAGAAGAGACGGGUUUUGAUAUUCUCCUUUUGGUAGUCAUCUUCUUGUUUAAUGAAUAGCUGUUAAUCUUGUUUUUGUUUUUCUCGUUUCUUCUUAAGAAAUUAGAUAUUUAUUCAUUAGGCCCAAUUUUGUGUGAGUUCUUAUACCUAGGGAAACUACUUUCGUAGAUUUUAUGGCUUUUUAAAUUUGUUUCAGUUGGCGACCUUUGGAUGGACCCUGUCGAUAACUAAUAUGAGCGGCUGAACCUACGGAUCCGGUCUUUCAAAUUACUAGACCUCUCGUGUAGACUCAGAAUUUGGUUGGUCUCUUUACGCUAAGACCUAGAUCCUCCUCUCACACUUUGACACCAUUAUUUCUUCUUCUUUUCUCCACCGCACCUUUUUUCGUGCACUCACGAGUGUCCUCUGUUUUUUUUUUCCCUCUGUU
This is an RNA transcript of Eutrema salsugineum, 4272 nucleotides long. It is a transcript of the gene named RNA polymerase-associated protein LEO1, with no coding region annotated. NCBI's taxonomy places the organism in Eukaryota, Viridiplantae, Streptophyta, Magnoliopsida, Brassicales, Brassicaceae. The record is from RefSeq and is a predicted model, not a curated record. The transcript has 13 exons.